AUUCCAGCUCCAAUAGCGUAUAUUUAAGUUGUUGCAGUUAAAAAGCUCGUAGUUGAACUUCUGGUAGGAGUGACCGGACCGUUGGACGAAUGUCCUCUGUUUGUCUUGUGUCAUCUCUGGCCAUCUUCGCUGGCAUUUUUUUGUCAGCGUCUUUCACUGUAAAUAAAUUAGGGUGUUCCAAGCAGGUUUUUUGCCGGAAUAUUUCAGUAUAGGAUGAUAAGAUAAGCUUUGAUGCUAUUUUGUUGGUUUGCACAUCAAGAGAAUGAUUAACAGGGACAGUUGGGGGUAUUCGUAUUCAGAUGUCAGAGGUGAAAUUCUUAGAUUUUCGGAAGGCGAACUACUGCGAAGGCAUUUACCAAGGAUGUUUUCAUUA
RNAcentral lists this ribosomal RNA (373 nucleotides) under Labyrinthuloides sp. RNAcentral describes it as "partial small subunit ribosomal RNA". It matches the Rfam family "Eukaryotic small subunit ribosomal RNA", at positions 582 to 975 of the family's 1831-position model. Lineage: Eukaryota; Bigyra; Thraustochytrida; Thraustochytriidae. The record is from RNAcentral.